UACGUAGGGUGCAAGCGUUGUCCGGAAUUAUUGGGCGUAAAGAGCUCGUAGGCGGUCUGUCGCGUCUGGUGUGAAAACUCAGGGCUUAACCCUGAGCUUGCAUCGGGUACGGGCAGACUAGAGUGCGGUAGGGGAGACUGGAAUUCCUGGUGUAGCGGUGAAAUGCGCAGAUAUCAGGAGGAACACCGGUGGCGAAGGCGGGUCUCUGGGCCGAUACUGACGCUGAGGAGCGAAAGCGUGGGGAGCGAACAGG
Molecule: ribosomal RNA, 253 nt
Filed under: uncultured bacterium
Lineage: Bacteria
Description: partial 16S ribosomal RNA
Rfam family: Bacterial small subunit ribosomal RNA
Source: RNAcentral